ACAGAAGCAAUAACAGUAAAUGCACCAGAAUUCUUGGAGAAUAUUCAAAUACCACAAAGAGCCAGCUAUAUUAGGGUAAUUAUGUUAGAAUUAAGCCGGAUAGCUUCUCACUUGCUAUGGCUUGGACCUUUUAUGGCGGAUCUCGGCGCACAGACUCCUUUUUUCUAUAUUUUUAGAGAGAGAGAAUUAAUAUAUGAUCUAUUUGAAGCUGCUACAGGUAUGCGAAUGAUGCACAAUUACUUUCGCAUCGGAGGAGUAGCCGCCGAUCUACCUUAUGGAUGGAUCGAGAAAUGUUUAGAUUUCUGUGAUUAUUUUUUACGCGGAGUUGUUGAAUAUCAACAACUUAUUACACAGAAUCCAAUUUUUUUAGAGCGAGUUGAAGGAGUAGGUUUUAUUAGCGGAGAAGAAGCAGUAAAUUGGGGCUUAUCGGGACCGAUGUUACGAGCUUCUGGAAUACAAUGGGAUCUUCGUAAAGUUGGCCGGCAUCGAGGAGCUGAUGGUGAGACAAGGGCCGUUCGACGGACUGUUCGGCUUCUCUCAGGGCGCCCUCCUGUCGGCCGCGCUUGUUGGGCUCCAGCAACAAGGGCUGGCCUUGAACAGGGUUCCUAGGGUGAAGUACGUUAUGAUCAUAUCCGGUGCGAAGAUCCAGUCCCCGGCAUUGGCCGCCAAGGCGUACGCCAACAAGAUCAACUGCGCUUCGCUUCAUUUCAUUGGCGACGGUGACUUCGUGAAAGCCCACGGCGAGGAGCUGGCGGACUCGUUCGUGGAUCCGCUUGUCAUACGCCACCCGGCCGGGCACACGGUCCCCAGACUCGACGAGAAGGGCCUCCAGGCGAUGCUCAGCUACCUUGACAAGAUCGAAAGGGAUCUGGCGAGAGAUUAAUCAAUUGUGCUGACCGCCACUCUGUUUCAUGAGUUUAUGGCAUAGCAGACUAGUAGUAGUAACAUCUACUCCCUCUGUUCCUAAAUAUUACUAGCCUUUUAGAGAUUUUUAUAUGAACUACAUAUAGAUGUAUGUAGACGUAUUUUAGAUGUAAAUUCAUCCAUUUCGCUCCAAUGUAGUCCAUAUUAGAAUCGCUAAAAAGACCUAUAUUUAGGAGCGGAGGAAGUAACAUGGAUGACUGACAUUUGAAGACCACGAUAACCGUUUAACACAAGGCUGCGGAAAUGUAUUAGGGGACAGUUCUGAAGAUCAAGAAGGUGUUGGGAUAGGCGUAUGCAAGGGGGCUAGGAGGAUCUGCUUGAGCUCUAUUCUUUUACGUGCUCUGGGUGUGUGAGCUCAAAUAUGAACUUCCGGUUUUUGCUUAGGCCUAGCAGAGCUGUGUUUCAAGCUUCCUGCGUGUAGUUGUUGUCUGUCUGCCUCAUAUGUUCCCAGGCUUUCUUUUUCUUUUUGCCAUUUCCACUCUUUAGUUUCAUGUAAUAGAUGAAAAUCGAUGAGGAGGCUCAUUGUCUCAAAAGAAAUUUGGCGCAAGACAAUGUUCUUAUCUAUAAUUGUGUAACUCAAAACGUCGAUAUUUGUUUAACUCAAAACCGG
Molecule: ribosomal RNA, 1534 nt
Filed under: Triticum aestivum (bread wheat)
Lineage: Eukaryota; Viridiplantae; Streptophyta; Magnoliopsida; Poales; Poaceae
Description: partial small subunit ribosomal RNA
Source: RNAcentral